RNAcentral lists this unclassified non-coding RNA (214 nucleotides) under uncultured Clavariaceae. Its description in RNAcentral is "sequence contains ITS2". Lineage: Eukaryota; Fungi; Basidiomycota; Agaricomycetes; Agaricales; Clavariaceae. The record is from RNAcentral.
AAUUCUCAACUUCAAAGGUUUAUUCUUUUUGAAGCUUGGAUGUUGGAGGACUUGCAGGCAUAUAUUCAAAUGUCAGCUCCUCUUAAAUGCAUUAGCAGAACUAGUACAGUUCGGCUCUGGUUUGAUAAUGCUAUCUAUGCCAUUGCUGAAAGGUCAAUUUGUUCAGCUUCUAAUGGUCCAUUGUGGACUGUCUCUUUGGAGGCAUUAUCUUUUG